RNAcentral lists this ribosomal RNA (375 nucleotides) under uncultured bacterium. RNAcentral's name for it is "bacterial SSU rRNA". It matches the Rfam family "Bacterial small subunit ribosomal RNA", at positions 97 to 507 of the family's 1533-position model. The record is from RNAcentral.
GGCAGACGGGUGAGUAACGCGUGGGAAUCUACCUAGUUCUACGGAACAACUGAGGGAAACUUCAGCUAAUACCGUAUACGCCCUAAGGGGGAAAGAUUUAUUGGAAUUAGAUGAGCCCGCGUAAGAUUAGCUAGUUGGUGGGGUAAUGGCCUACCAAGGCGACGAUCUUUAGCUGGUCUGAGAGGAUGAUCAGCCACACUGGGACUGAGACACGGCCCAGACUCCUACGGGAGGCAGCAGUGGGGAAUAUUGGACAAUGGGCGCAAGCCUGAUCCAGCCAUGCCGCGUGAGUGAUGAAGGCCUUAGGGUUGUAAAGCUCUUUCAGUGGGGAAGAUAAUGACGGUACCCACAGAAGAAGCCCCGGCUAACUUCGUG